ACGGAAGGCAGCAGUGGGGAAUAUUGCACAAUGGGCGAAAGCCUGGUGCAGCGACGCCGCGUGAGUGAAGAAGUAUUUCGGUAUGUAAAGCUCUAUCAGCAGGGAAGAAAAAUGACGGUACCUGACUAAGAAGCACCGGCUAAAUACGUGCCAGCAGCCGCGGUAAUACGUAUGGUGCAAGCGUUAUCCGGAUUUACUGGGUGUAAAGGGAGCGCAGGCGGUACGGCAAGUCUGAUGUGAAAGCCCGGGGCUCAACCCCGGUACUGCAUUGGAAACUGUCGAACUAGAGUGUCGGAGGGGUAAGCGGAAUUCCUAGUGUAGCGGUGAAAUGCGUAGAUAUUAGGAGGAACACCAGUGGCGAAGGCGGCUUACUGGACGAUAACUGACGCUGAGGCUCGAAAGCGUGGGGAGCAAACAGGAUUAGAUACCCUGGUA
RNAcentral lists this ribosomal RNA (435 nucleotides) under uncultured Roseburia sp. RNAcentral's name for it is "partial 16S ribosomal RNA". It matches the Rfam family "Bacterial small subunit ribosomal RNA", at positions 341 to 792 of the family's 1533-position model. The record is from RNAcentral. Lineage: Bacteria; Bacillati; Bacillota; Clostridia; Lachnospirales; Lachnospiraceae.